This is a long non-coding RNA of Solanum lycopersicum (tomato), 1580 nucleotides long. RefSeq lists it as uncharacterized. The record is from RefSeq and is a predicted model, not a curated record. Lineage: Eukaryota; Viridiplantae; Streptophyta; Magnoliopsida; Solanales; Solanaceae.
AAUUAACUCCAAAAUAUCAUCACUUUUUAAAAGCUUCCCACAAUGAAUUUAAUUGAACAGAGGCCCGAACCGGCAAAAAUUAAAAUAAAAGAAGAGAACUAACAACUAUAUAAAUAUUUAGACCACAAAAUAGGAAAGUUCUCGACCCCUUCCAUUCCAGUCUUAUCUACUCUAAUGUCGGUUCUUGAAAGCUUCAUAGAUGACGCGUCUUCUUCUCAAACCUCAAGGAUUCUACAAAUUGAUGAGGUUCAUAAAAUUAAUAUAAAAAAAGAAAAUUAACAACUAUACAACUAUUUAGACCAAGAAAUAGGGGAAUCCUCGACCCCUUCCAUUCUACUCCGAUCUACUCUGAUGUCGGCUUCUUGAUGUCUUCAUAGAUGAGGCGUCUUCUUCUCAAACCUAAGGAUUCUAAAGUUUGAUCAGGUUCAUAUGAUGCUUUUGGUCAUAACUUUGAUAUUUUAUACAUCCCAAUAUCGAGCAAUUUGUGUCACUUUGUAAGCGACAUCUUAUAAGCUCACAGUUGCCAUGAAAUCAAUUCCUUUAAGUACAUCAUCAAUUCAAAUAUCAUGAAAUCUCUGUAAAGAUAUAAAUCAAUUACGAAUCAAUAAGUCCAUUGACAAGAAUAAAGUGUUUGUAUCACGAGAAUCUUCUUCUCUUUGCUCGAACUCGAGACCUCUGGUUAAUAUUGCAAGGGAUUUAAACGAUCCCUUCACAUCUGUUGCUGGUACCAAAGUGCUCAAAACAUUACUGUCACGAUUGGACAUCUUGCCCCUUUACCCAUCAAGGGGAAAAAGCACGUCGACAUAACCCGAGAAAAUACAACUAUUUUCCAAUUUCUUGCCCAAGUUACAAAUUCGAACCUUGCAUAAAGGGAGAUCAUUGAGAAUUGUGUCAUGGAGUUUUUGAGCACUGGUUACACCCUGCAAAGUACAGGACCACUCUGUGCCAAGCUGAAACGUCAUGUAACAGACCAAUUUGUUUCUUCGCACAUACACUGAAAGAGCUUCGUCCGGAGACAAAAUACAAUUGGUGUUAUGUGUAUCUAUGCCCUUUAUACAUCCAAUCAUAUCCGUACAUUAUGAUUAAAACUUGUCCAAAUGGUAAUUGGAUGAUCAUUCCUUGUAACCCUCAUCUACAACCACCACCACCUGAUCAGUGUUAUGAUAAUACCACUUUUGGACUUGGAAAUUGUUCUAAUCCUCAAAGAAUUCCUCUAAAAAUAUGCCAACAUUUGAGUUGUUUACUCCUCCUCCUCCUUCUUCUCCCUCAUCUUCUCAAUCUCAUUCAAAGUUUGUUUAUAGGUUACAUAAUGAAAGUGAUUUUUCACUUUUUUCCUCCAACCACAAAUAGUUGAUUGAGCGGAUGAAAACUCUUGAGCUUGGGAGUACUUCCCAUGCUAAGAUAAAUAAAAUUCACGAUGAUAAUGGGAAGAGGAUUGUGGAGUAAGAAUUAUGUUAUUAAGAAUUUCCAAAUUACAUUUAUUGAGUUUCUGACUUGUUAGUGGAAGAAUUUGAGGGUCCAAGCUUGUAAUAUUUUGUGCAUGAUGUGUCACAGUAAUUCAUUUUAAUUUUAAUGUAUUA